RNAcentral lists this unclassified non-coding RNA (580 nucleotides) under Hevea brasiliensis (rubber tree). Lineage: Eukaryota; Viridiplantae; Streptophyta; Magnoliopsida; Malpighiales; Euphorbiaceae. The record is from RNAcentral.
GUUUAAAUUCAAAAUCUUGAAACCUAGCUACAAAAGUAAAUAUAAUGUCUUAACCAAUCCUCUAAAUUGGAUCACUCCUCUCUUAGUUGAUAAGGUAGCACUCAUGUCACAUUUUGCUCUAUAACUAAAAUGUAAUAGAAGAAAAACAUGAAAUCAAUCUAAGUUCUAACAGAAAUCUCUCUAAUUUUUCUUACUUUUUCUCCCUUCAAACUCGAGGAUUUACAGCCUAAAAAAGAUGCUUCUGUUUACUCCAAUCUGGUGAUCUAACCCUGCGGUAAGCUUGAAAUUACCGACUCUUUUUAAGAUUAAUACUUCUUUUUUCCCCAGAAAAAACUUAUCCUUAUACAGUCUUACCAAAAAACAGAGCUUCUGCAAUGCCCCUGCCAUAUAUUUUUUUUAUGUUGAAUCUUAAAUCACUUGACAGUCUAAUUCUUCUCUGAAACUCACCAACACAGAAACAAAUCCAUAUAAUUCCGCAACAUAUAUUCGCUUUAUAAAAAAACAAAUGGACUAAACAAUGAUUCAAUUCUAGAAUUAAUAUCCGAGAAGAAACGAGCUAAAGCUCAAUUUUGCAAUAAAA